This 234-nucleotide long non-coding RNA is filed under the name Salvia miltiorrhiza (redroot sage). RNAcentral describes it as "long non-coding RNA (SMIL_LNC003907)". Lineage: Eukaryota; Viridiplantae; Streptophyta; Magnoliopsida; Lamiales; Lamiaceae. The record is from RNAcentral.
AGAAUUGUUCAAAAUCUGAGAAAAUGACAUUAAUUGCUAACUCACGUCACUUUCAUGCACUGUAGGUUUGAAAAUUUUGAAAAAAUAGGCUACGUUUGUGCGUUAUAAAAUAUCAAUAAGCAGGCAAAAAAUUUCCUAUUUAUGUAUAUUGUGAACAAAAAAUAUUUUAAAGCCAAUGGAGUAACAAGCCUCCCAUAAACCCUAGCCGCCUGCAUAAGCCUCGGGGUAUUUUCA